Molecule: unclassified non-coding RNA, 323 nt
Filed under: soil metagenome
Description: partial contains 5.8S ribosomal RNA, internal transcribed spacer 2, and large subunit ribosomal RNA
Rfam family: 5.8S ribosomal RNA (bases 1-120)
Source: RNAcentral
GAUGAAGAACGUAGCGAAAUGCGAUAAGUAGUGUGAAUUGCAGAAUUCAGUGAAUCAUCGAAUCUUUGAACGCACAUUGCGCCCAUUGGUAUUCCAUGGGGCAUGCCUGUUCGAGCGUCAUUUGUACCUUCAAGCUUUGCUUGGUGUUGGGUGUUUGUCCUGAGGGACUCGCCUUAAAGUAAUUGGCAGCCAGUGUUUGGUUUUGAAGCGCAGCACAAGUCGCGAUUCAAAGCUAUACGCCCGCUUCCACAAGCCUUUUUCACUUUUGACCUCGGAUCAGGUAGGGAUACCCGCUGAACUUAAGCAUAUCAAUAAGCGGAGGA